This 884-nucleotide ribosomal RNA is filed under the name uncultured bacterium. RNAcentral describes it as "bacterial SSU rRNA". It matches the Rfam family "Bacterial small subunit ribosomal RNA", at positions 560 to 1439 of the family's 1533-position model. The record is from RNAcentral.
GUAAAGGGCGCGUAGGCGGCCGGAGCAGUUCUGGGUGAAAGUCCUCGGCUCAACCGGGGAAUUGCCUGGAAAACCAUCGGGCUGGAGUGCUGGAGAGGCAAGCGGAAUUCCUGGUGUAGCGGUGAAAUGCGUAGAUAUCAGGAGGAACACCUGAGGCGAAGGCGGCUUGCUGGACAGACACUGACGCUGAGGCGCGAAAGCUAGGGGAGCAAACGGGAUUAGAUACCCCGGUAGUCCUAGCCGUAAACGAUGGGUACUUGGUGUGGGGGGUGAUUGAAGUCCCUCCGUGCCGGCGAUAACUCGUUAAGUACCCCGCCUGGGGAGUACGAUCGCAAGAUUGAAACUCAAAGGAAUUGACGGGGGCCCGCACAAGCGGUGGAGCAUGUGGUUUAAUUCGACGCAACGCGAAGAACCUUACCGGGGUUUGAACUGCAGGGGGCGGUGGCAGAGAUGUCGCCUUCUCUUCGGAGACCGCUGCAGAGGUGCUGCAUGGCUGUCGUCGGCUCGUGUCGUGAGAUGUUGGGUUAAGUCCCGCAACGAGCGCAACCCUUGUCUGUAGUUGCCAUCAGGUGAAGCUGGGCACCCUACAGAGACUGUCGGCGAAAAGCCGGAGGAAGGUGGGGAUGACGUCAAGUCCUCAUGGCCUUUAUGCCCCGGGCUACACACGUGCUACAAUGGGCGGUACAAAGAGCAGCCAACUUGCAAAAGUGAGCGAAUCUCAAAAAGCCGUCCCCAGUUCGGAUUGCAGUCUGCAACUCGACUGCAUGAAGGUGGAAUCGCUAGUAACCGCAGAUCAGCAUGCCGCGGUGAAUACGUUCCCGGGCCUUGUACACACCGCCCGUCACAUCACGAAAGUGGGCUGCACUAGAAGCCGCCGGGCUAAC